Molecule: transfer RNA, 69 nt
Filed under: Diaphorina citri (Asian citrus psyllid)
Lineage: Eukaryota; Metazoa; Arthropoda; Insecta; Hemiptera; Psyllidae
Rfam family: tRNA
About the family: Transfer RNA (tRNA) molecules are approximately 80 nucleotides in length. Their secondary structure includes four short double-helical elements and three loops (D, anti-codon, and T loops).
Source: Rfam by way of RNAcentral
GCUCCCAUGGCGUGGUCACUGCACUCGCCUUGCACGCGGGAGACCCGGGUUCGAUUCCCGGCGGGGUCA